UAAUCGCAGAUCAGAAUGCUGCGGUGAAUACGUUCCCGGGUCUUGUACACACCGCCCGUCACACCAUGGGAGUCGGAAAUGCCCGAAGCCGGUGACUCAACCUUUAAGGAGAGAGCCGUCGAAGGCAGGUCUGAUAACUGGGGUGAAGUCGUAACAAGGUAGC
RNAcentral lists this ribosomal RNA (163 nucleotides) under uncultured bacterium. RNAcentral's name for it is "partial 16S ribosomal RNA". It matches the Rfam family "Bacterial small subunit ribosomal RNA", at positions 1339 to 1500 of the family's 1533-position model. The record is from RNAcentral.